CCUACGGGGGGCAGCAGUGGGGAAUAUUGGGCAAUGGGCGCAAGCCUGACCCAGCAACGCCGCGUGAAGGAAGAAGGCUUUCGGGUUGUAAACUUCUUUUCUCAGGGACGAAGCAAGUGACGGUACCUGAGGAAUAAGCCACGGCUAACUACGUGCCAGCAGCAGCGGUAAUCCGUAGGUGGCAAGCGUUAUCCGGAUUUACUGGGUGUAAAGGGCGUGUAGGCGGGACGGUAAGUCAGAUGUGAAAACCACGGGCUCAACCUGUGGCCUGCAUUUGAAACUGUAGGUCUUGAGUACUGGAGAGGCAGACGGAAUUCGUAGUGUAGCGGUGAAAUGCGUAGAUAUCAGGAGGAACACCAGUGGCGAAGGCGGUCUGCUGGACAGCAACUGACGCUGAGGCGCGAAAGCGUGGGUAGCAAACAGGAUUAGAUACCCUGGUAGUC
RNAcentral lists this ribosomal RNA (443 nucleotides) under uncultured bacterium. RNAcentral's name for it is "partial 16S ribosomal RNA". It matches the Rfam family "Bacterial small subunit ribosomal RNA", at positions 338 to 795 of the family's 1533-position model. The record is from RNAcentral.